GAUCUGACGUGCUUGCGCUGAAGUGACGAUGGAUUACCAGUGAGCGGCGGACGGGUGAGUAACACGUGGGCAACCUGCCCUGAAGCGGGGGAUAACAUUUGGAAACAGGUGCUAAUACCGCAUAACAACGAAAACCACAUGGUUUUCGUUUCAAAGAUGGUUUCGGCUAUCACUUCAGGAUGGGCCCGCGGUGCAUUAGCUUGUUGGUAGGGUAACGGCCUACCAAGGCAAUGAUGCAUAGCCGAGUUGAGAGACUGAUCGGCCACAAUGGAACUGAGACACGGUCCAUACUCCUACGGGAGGCAGCAGUAGGGAAUCUUCCACAAUGGGCGCAAGCCUGAUGGAGCGACACCGCGUGAGUGAAGAAGGGUUUCGGCUCGUAAAGCUCUGUUGUUGAAGAAGAACGUGCGUGAGAGCAACUGUUCACGCAGUGACGGUAUUCAACCAGAAAGUCACGGCUAACUACGUGCCAGCAGCCGCGGUAAUACGUAGGUGGCAAGCGUUAUCCGGAUUUAUUGGGCGUAAAGCGAGCGCAGGCGGUUGCUUAAGUCUGAUGUGAAAGCCUUCGGCUUAACCGAAGAAGUGCAUCGGAAACUGAGCGACUUGAGUGCAGAAGAGGACAGUGGAACUCCAUGUGUAGCGGUGGAAUGCGUAGAUAUAUGGAAGAACACCAGUGGCGAAGGCGGCUGUCUGGUCUGCAACUGACGCUGAGGCUCGAAAGCAUGGGUAGCGAACAGGAUUAGAUACCCUGGUA
RNAcentral lists this ribosomal RNA (754 nucleotides) under uncultured bacterium. RNAcentral describes it as "bacterial SSU rRNA". It matches the Rfam family "Bacterial small subunit ribosomal RNA", at positions 66 to 792 of the family's 1533-position model. The record is from RNAcentral.